Molecule: ribosomal RNA, 420 nt
Filed under: uncultured bacterium
Lineage: Bacteria
Description: bacterial SSU rRNA
Rfam family: Bacterial small subunit ribosomal RNA
Source: RNAcentral
GGCGGACGGGUGGAGUAACGCGUGGGCGAACCUGGCUCGUACUGGGGGAGUAGCAGUUGGAAACGACUGAUAAUACCGCAUAAGCGCACAGUACCGCAUGGUACAGUGUGAAAAACUCCGGUGGUACGAGAUGGGCCCGCGUCAGAUUAGCCAGUUGGUGGGGUAACGGCCUACCAAAGCAACGAUCUGUAGCCGGACUGAGAGGUCGGACGGCCACAUUGGGACUGAGACACGGCCCAAACUCCUACGGGAGGCAGCAGUGGGGGAUAUUGCACAAUGGGCGAAAGCCUGAUGCAGCGACGCCGCGUGAGUGAAGAAGUAUUUCGGUAUGUAAAGCUCUAUCAGCAGGGAAGAAAGACUCGUAAGAGAGAUGACGGUACCUGACUAAGAAGCCCCGGCUAACUACGUGCCAGCAGCCGC